RNAcentral lists this ribosomal RNA (481 nucleotides) under uncultured bacterium. Its description in RNAcentral is "bacterial SSU rRNA". It matches the Rfam family "Bacterial small subunit ribosomal RNA", at positions 501 to 985 of the family's 1533-position model. The record is from RNAcentral.
CUACGUGCCAGCAGCCGCGGUAAUACGGAAGGUCCAGGCGUUAUCCGGAUUUAUUGGGUUUAAAGGGAGCGUAGGCUGGAGAUUAAGUGUGUUGUGAAAUGUAGACGCUCAACGUCUGAAUUGCAGCGCAUACUGGUUUCCUUGAGUACGCACAACGUUGGCGGAAUUCGUCGUGUAGCGGUGAAAUGCUUAGAUAUGACGAAGAACUCCGAUUGCGAAGGCAGCUGACGGGAGCGCAACUGACGCUUAAGCUCGAAGGUGCGGGUAUCAAACAGGAUUAGAUACCCUGGUAGUCCGCACAGUAAACGAUGGAUGCCCGCUGUUGGUACUUGGUAUCAGCGGCUAAGCGAAAGCAUUAAGCAUCCCACCUGGGGAGUACGCCGGCAACGGUGAAACUCAAAGGAAUUGACGGGGGCCCGCACAAGCGGAGGAACAUGUGGUUUAAUUCGAUGAUACGCGAGGAACCUUACCCGGGCUUGAA